Molecule: long non-coding RNA, 141 nt
Organism: Sphaeramia orbicularis (orbiculate cardinalfish)
Lineage: Eukaryota; Metazoa; Chordata; Actinopteri; Kurtiformes; Apogonidae
Exons: 3
Source: RefSeq, a predicted model, not a curated record
UAGUCGCUUUUCUAUUGACCCUCAAAUUGCGCAAAUAUAACUUGUGCAUAAAAAUUUACCUAAUGGAAAAACGACAACUUUGUCAAAACUCAUAUUUUUCGAUUAAAAGUUUUUGCGCUGGCAAGAGGUGGUUUUUCGGGC